CCUACGGGAGGCAGCAGUGGGGGAUAUUGCACAAUGGGGGAAACCCUGAUGCAGCAACGCCGCGUGAGUGAAGAAGUAUUUCGGUAUGUAAAGCUCUAUCAGCAGGGAAGAGAAUGACGGUACCUGACUAAGAAGCCCCGGCUAACUACGUGCCAGCAGCCGCGGUAAUACGUAGGGGGCGAGCGUUAUCCGGAUUUACUGGGUGUAAAGGGAGCGUAGACGGCUGGUCAAGUCUGAAGUGAAAGCCCGGGGCUUAACCCCGGAACGGCUUUGGAAACUGUUUUGCUGGAGUAUGGGAGGGGUAAGCGGAAUUCCUGGUGUAGCGGUGAAAUGCGUAGAUAUCAGGAGGAACACCGGUGGCGAAGGCGGCUUACUGGACCAUAACUGACGUUGAGGCUCGAAAGCGUGGGGAGCGAACAGGAUUAGAUACCCUGGUAGUC
This 440-nucleotide ribosomal RNA is filed under the name uncultured bacterium. Its description in RNAcentral is "partial 16S ribosomal RNA". It matches the Rfam family "Bacterial small subunit ribosomal RNA", at positions 338 to 795 of the family's 1533-position model. The record is from RNAcentral.